GGAAUGGCAGCAGACCGGCUGCCAGUGGCACGGAGUGCUGUCUGAAUGCUGCAAGGGAGCAUGAUAUCCCAGCUCUUCUUGAGAAGGCGACACUGAAUAAGAAAACAGGUCCAAAAUCCAGAAAGGUCCUGACAGGGCAUGUGGUUGGAGCAGCCGCCUGCGUGCCUCGGGCAGACUGAAGCAGGCCAAGAAUGAAAGGGGGCGGCACAGGGCGGCCAGCAUCCAGUCACCUGAGAAAGAAGGAAUUCAACCUGGAAUAAUCCCUCACACUCUUCACAUGGGUGCAUCUCUCGCCACCCCACCCAGAUGCUCUCUGCCCUCCAGGAGCUCCAAAGGCCUAAAGGGUCUUCUUCAGAUGGCUGUUUAAGAAGGCUGUUCUUCAACAUGUGGAACAUUUCCUCCUUUGAAAUGAAUCCAUCACCAUUCAAAUCAAACACUUCAAAGCAAUCUUUUAAAAAAUAGCCAAUUAGGAAUUUGAUACUAUCCUUAAGGUAACAUUUGUUCUGAAAAAGUUUUCAAGACCAAGGUCUAUAUUGAUGUUCUUAUCAAUGCCACAGGCCUUAACACAAUCUAAUCUCCAUAAUAAAUGCUUAAUGUUCACUUGUUGAAUAUAUGCAACAAUCCUUAGAAAAAAUUUCAUUACAAUCAGCUAUGGAGAAGCAUGACAAGAGACAAUAAGUUGGCAUAAUACUCCCCAGGUAUUAUGUUGAGUGAAAUAAGCCAAUCAGAAAAAGACAAGUAUCACAUCAUCUCACUUAUAGGUGGAAUCUAAUGAACUGAUGAACAAAAAAGACCCAGAGACAUAGAAACAUGCAACAGACUGA
Myotis myotis is the source of this 824-nucleotide long non-coding RNA. RefSeq lists it as uncharacterized. The transcript is spliced from 3 exons. The record is from RefSeq and is a predicted model, not a curated record. Lineage: Eukaryota; Metazoa; Chordata; Mammalia; Chiroptera; Vespertilionidae.